AAUUGAAGAGUUUGAUCAUGGCUCAGAUUGAACGCUGGCGGCAGGCCUAACACAUGCAAGUCGAGCGGUAGCACAGAGAGCUUGCUCUCGGGUGACGAGCGGCGGACGGGUGAGUAAUGUCUGGGAAACUGCCUGAUGGAGGGGGAUAACUACUGGAAACGGUAGCUAAUACCGCAUAAUGUCGCAAGACCAAAGUGGGGGACCUUCGGGCCUCAUGCCAUCAGAUGUGCCCAGAUGGGAUUAGCUAGUAGGUGGGGUAACGGCUCACCUAGGCGACGAUCCCUAGCUGGUCUGAGAGGAUGACCAGCCACACUGGAACUGAGACACGGUCCAGACUCCUACGGGAGGCAGCAGUGGGGAAUAUUGCACAAUGGGCGCAAGCCUGAUGCAGCCAUGCCGCGUGUGUGAAGAAGGCCUUCGGGUUGUAAAGCACUUUCAGCGGGGAGGAAGGCGUUAAGGUUAAUAACCUUGGCGAUUGACGUUACCCGCAGAAGAAGCACCGGCUAACUCCGUGCCAGCAGCCGCGGUAAUACGGAGGGUGCAAGCGUUAAUCGGAAUUACUGGGCGUAAAGCGCACGCAGGCGGUCUGUCAAGUCGGAUGUGAAAUCCCCGGGCUCAACCUGGGAACUGCAUUCGAAACUGGCAGGCUAGAGUCUUGUAGAGGGGGGUAGAAUUCCAGGUGUAGCGGUGAAAUGCGUAGAGAUCUGGAGGAAUACCGGUGGCGAAGGCGGCCCCCUGGACAAAGACUGACGCUCAGGUGCGAAAGCGUGGGGAGCAAACAGGAUUAGAUACCCUGGUAGUCCACGCCGUAAACGAUGUCGAUUUGGAGGUUGUGCCCUUGAGGCGUGGCUUCCGGAGCUAACGCGUUAAAUCGACCGCCUGGGGAGUACGGCCGCAAGGUUAAAACUCAAAUGAAUUGACGGGGGCCCGCACAAGCGGUGGAGCAUGUGGUUUAAUUCGAUGCAACGCGAAGAACCUUACCUGGUCUUGACAUCCACAGAACUUAGCAGAGAUGCUUUGGUGCCUUCGGGAACUGUGAGACAGGUGCUGCAUGGCUGUCGUCAGCUCGUGUUGUGAAAUGUUGGGUUAAGUCCCGCAACGAGCGCAACCCUUAUCCUUUGUUGCCAGCGGUUAGGCCGGGAACUCAAAGGAGACUGCCAGUGAUAAACUGGAGGAAGGUGGGGAUGACGUCAAGUCAUCAUGGCCCUUACGACCAGGGCUACACACGUGCUACAAUGGCAUAUACAAAGAGAAGCGACCUCGCGAGAGCAAGCGGACCUCAUAAAGUAUGUCGUAGUCCGGAUUGGAGUCUGCAACUCGACUCCAUGAAGUCGGAAUCGCUAGUAAUCGUAGAUCAGAAUGCUACGGUGAAUACGUUCCCGGGCCUUGUACACACCGCCCGUCACACCAUGGGAGUGGGUUGCAAAAGAAGUAGGUAGCUUAACCUUCGGGAGGGCGCUUACCACUUUGUGAUUCAUGACUGGGGUGAAGUCGUAACAAGGUAACCGUAGGGGAACCUGCGGUUGGAUCACCUCCUUA
Molecule: ribosomal RNA, 1539 nt
Filed under: Klebsiella pneumoniae subsp. pneumoniae KPNIH27
Lineage: Bacteria; Pseudomonadati; Pseudomonadota; Gammaproteobacteria; Enterobacterales; Enterobacteriaceae
Description: bacterial SSU rRNA
Rfam family: Bacterial small subunit ribosomal RNA
Source: RNAcentral